Non-coding RNA from Schistosoma haematobium, 45 nucleotides. Lineage: Eukaryota; Metazoa; Platyhelminthes; Trematoda; Strigeidida; Schistosomatidae. The record is from Rfam.
AUUCGGCUUACGAGUCCCAAAUAGGACGAAACGCGCGUCCUGGAU